Molecule: small RNA, 44 nt
Filed under: Plasmodium falciparum 3D7
Lineage: Eukaryota; Apicomplexa; Aconoidasida; Haemosporida; Plasmodiidae
Description: Pfa-npcR6601b
Source: RNAcentral
AUAAUAUAUAUAAUUCUGAGUGUAAAUUUUAUAAGAGAUUUAUA